UUCUCUGGGAUGGUCUCUGGGCUGAAGUGAAAACAAGAGAAAUUUCAACCAGGAUAAGAACUUCGAUCAUGCUCUGCCCUGGCCUGCUGUGGACAUUCAUAGCCUCCUUUGCCUUCAGAUCCAGCACGGCAGCCUCUGUGACCCAAGUUCAGGCUACAAUAACAGUGCAGGAAGGAGAAGCUGUGACCCUGCCCUGCACGUAUGAAACCAGCUGGAGUACUUAUAUUUUGUACUGGUACAAGCAGUCUGCCAGUGGAGAGAUGGUUCUGCUUAUUAUACAGUAUUAUAGUGAUUCAAAUGCAAAGCAGGGUCGCUAUUCUGUGAACUUUCAAAAGGCAGAAAAGUCCCUCAGCCUCACCAUCUCCUCUUUGCAACUGGAAGACUCAGUGAAGUACUUCUGUGCUCUUUUAGAAUCCCACAGUUAUAGAAACGAGAGUAGCAGCUUAACAAAAACCUUAGAGCUCCAUGAAGACAGCCACCUGCUCAGAGGCUUAGGGAAACCCAGGACCCACAGACAGGAAGAAGGCGGGCUGUGUGGUGGCACCGCUGAGACCCUCUAAUGGAAACUUGCUUCUAUAAAUAAUGCUGCAUAUUUAGCACAAUGUAUAAACCAGCACUCUUCCCUGAGAGUCUCAGGUCUUAUGUUUAUAUCUUGGGUUAAAAUAAAUCAAAAACUGCUUUUCAAAUUUUCCCUUAAAAGGACCUAGAACUUUAACUGAAGAUCACAUGUAGCCACUAAACAUAGAACCAGGACUCAAACCAGAUCUGUUUCUUAAAUCUUCCUACUGUGGUACCCUCUCUGACUCAAACAAAACUAGGCUCUACAUAUGUGUGUGUGUGUGUGUG
This is a non-coding RNA of Manis pentadactyla (Chinese pangolin), 846 nucleotides long. NCBI's taxonomy places the organism in Eukaryota, Metazoa, Chordata, Mammalia, Pholidota, Manidae. The record is from the annotation of a RefSeq genome assembly.